CGGGGAUUGAACUUGGAUCCUUGCGCUUACAAAGGCAGGUGGCAGAACCACUGAGGUCUGGAGAGAAACCUAAGCUUGCUUCUCCAAGACUCUUACAAUGGACUGAUACUUUAGAGGUAAAAGGCAAACAGAAUGAGAAAAUUGAUCAUCAGCAAUCGUCCAACUGGUGCUCCCUCCCAAGGAUACUGAAGAGCAGUUUCUUGAGCUGGGACUGGGAAGGACAAGUAGUAAAAAAACUUUCAAGUGCAGACUUCAAUGUUUCCUGAAUAUGAUCUCACGAAACUAACAGUCUCCAGCUAUCACUGAAGGACCCUGUCCUUGGAAAGGGUACUGGGGAUUGAACUCAGGACCUUGUGUUUUGCGAUGCAGACGCGGUGCCACUGAGCUAAAUCCCCAGCCCCUUGGCUGCCUUUCUUUGACAACACUUUUUUUUAAAGAUCUAAUGGAUCUAUCUGGGAUUGGCAACUAAUUCAUGAUAAAGACGGAUUAAAAAUAUUAUCCACAUCUUAUAUUAUUUAUUGCCUAUAUAUCAAAAUCAUACCCUCUUAGUGAAUGAUAGAAACAGUGCUAACUGCAGACCUCCGUGCUGUGAUGGAAGUCAUUGAGAAUCUACAAUUUUUCUCCUAUUGUCUUUAUGAACAAGAAAUCCAUCACACUGAAAUGUGGAUCUUUUAAAUUAUUAUACUAACUUUACGCUUGAACCAUUUAUUUUAUAUGCUGAAGAAAACCUAUUAUCUGAUGGGCAACCUGGAGAAAAAGAAAUAAUUUUUAUUGUGAUGUUAAGCAAGUCUGGUGAUAAUCAUUGAAGAUGACUAAAUUUUUAUGAAUCACUUGCAAAAAUUAUGCUUGUUAGG
This 854-nucleotide long non-coding RNA is filed under the name Heterocephalus glaber (naked mole-rat). RNAcentral describes it as "lncRNA (ENSHGLG00100044473.1)". The record is from RNAcentral. Lineage: Eukaryota; Metazoa; Chordata; Mammalia; Rodentia; Bathyergidae.